Molecule: ribosomal RNA, 394 nt
Filed under: uncultured bacterium
Lineage: Bacteria
Description: bacterial SSU rRNA
Rfam family: Bacterial small subunit ribosomal RNA
Source: RNAcentral
AUAUUGGACAAUGGGCGCAAGCCUGAUCCAGCCAUGCCGCGUGGGUGAUGAAGGCCCUAGGGUUGUAAAGCCCUUUCGGCGGGGAAGAUAAUGACGGUACCCGCAGAAGAAGCCCCGGCUAACUUCGUGCCAGCAGCCGCGGUAAUACGAAGGGGGCUAGCGUUGCUCGGAAUUACUGGGCGUAAAGCGCACGUAGGCGGAUUGCUAAGUCAGUGGUGAAAUCCCGGAGCUAAACUCCGGAACUGCCUUUGAUACUGGCGAUCUUGAGUUCGGGAGAGGUGAGUGGAACUGCGAGUGUAGAGGUGAAAUUCGUAGAUAUUCGCAAGAACACCAGUGGCGAAGGCGGCUCACUGGCCCGAAACUGACGCUGAGGUGCGAAAGCGUGGGGAGCAAA